GUAAGGACGAGCGUCCCAGGAAAGUUUUCCAGAAGAGAAAAGAAGAAACUAAAAGGAAAGCCCACAGCAGAGAGUGCGACAGGGCCUCGCUCCAAGAUUCCACACCCAACCAGACAACAAUUGUCCCACUGGGAGAAAAGCCAGCGACGAAAGCAUUGUUUUGUCCAACUCUUCCUUCUCCCAUUUCCUAAUUUAGUAAAACCCUGCCUCUCACAAGAAUCGGCUGCUGCCCACAGCCAGCUCCCUCAGGCACUCAGACCCUGGAAGCCCUCCCACUUGGAACACUUCCGCAGAGGAGGGGAAUGUAGGGACCCGGCCUUGUUUUCCUGUGGCCCAGGCUCCCGUUGUGAGAUCCUGCAGAUCCGAACAACAAUCCCAUGCCCAAGUUCCCCACGCUUCAGCAGCACAGACAAGUACGGAUGCAGACGCCUCCAAAGAACGCCACGUGGGCUCUUGCAGGAGGAAAGUGGAGCAUGCUGGGAAGCAUGCUUGUGGUCAUGGGCGCUCGAACACAGCCCUUUGCCGUGUGCCAGCUCAUGUGCGUGCAUUUGGAGUUCUCAGGGGGUGAUGAAGGCUCCAGAGAGGCAGAAUGUAUUCUCGGCUUUUGCUGUUACAGGGCCAAGACUUGCCAACGAGGGGUCUUGGUGGUUGGUGUCCAUAGGACCUAGAGAGGCACCUAGUUUGAUGAAGUGCACGCUGUCCAUGCAGAGAUUCUGCCUGGAAGACACAGAGGCUAGUUUGCAACCAUCCCUGCUGUCUAAGUGGUUACAAGAUUUCCAUUGCAUCCUGUCUGUUUCACACUGCUACCCAAACAAUGUUAGAGCUUUGCCCCAAACCAGAUACUGGUGUCUUUUAGGGAGACAGAGGAAGCCGGAUCCACUUGCUAUUAAUGAACAGUUUUAUUGUUUCGUCCUAAAGCUGGAUCAGAUCUGUAAUUUAGACAUCUCUGAAAAAAUAACGCUUAUGAAAGUAUUUCCCAAGAACGUUUUACCAGCAAGUGGUAAGAGCGUGAUUCAAACUGGCCCAACCAGGAGGGAUGAAGGGGGGACGUGGGAAAGAGUAGACUAG
This 1068-nucleotide long non-coding RNA is filed under the name Oryctolagus cuniculus (rabbit). RNAcentral's name for it is "lncRNA (ENSOCUG00000032213.1)". The record is from RNAcentral. Lineage: Eukaryota; Metazoa; Chordata; Mammalia; Lagomorpha; Leporidae.